AAAAAUUACUAAAGCUAAUUGAUAGUCAUUACAAUAAUUAAAACAGCUAAUAUUACUAAAACAAACAAUAUUGUCAAAUAGGACCUAAAUUGAAUACCCCUAAGGCCAAUUAUUCAAUUUUUUGUUUUAAAUCCAAAAAUUCUCCACAUCCGUAAUUAUUACAUAAUUAAAACAUAUAUAUAUAUAUAUGCAUAUAUUGAUUGUUCUAUAAAACAAAAAGAGCCUAAAUGUGUAAUGAGUAGGAAGGAGCUACAUAUUAGCUUAUUCCUGUGUAUAACAUAGUCUUCAAGCAAACCUUCUGACAAGUUGCAUUGCAUUGGCUAUUUUCAUAUAACACCGUUCCUUUUCAGUCAGCCUGCUAUCCACAAUAUCAGGUAAUAAAUACUGACAUUAUCCAGAUCGCCAAACAAAAUUAUAAAAGCUUACCUUAAGAGAUAAAUCAGAGCUUAUUAAUAUAUUAUUAUACAUCUUCCUUUAUUCAAGUAACGGAACAUGCAAAAAGUAAAUCACAAUUGCACAAAAGUAUAUGCUGUUGAUGUAGGAGUAAGAGUAACAACUUUGUUCAUAACGAAGACCGUCGCACCGUCGGAUUUGACCUGCAAAAUGGAAGUGUUUCAUUAUUUAUGGAAUGAUCUUUUCUUUCUUUUUUUUUUGUUUUUGUUUUUUUUUUUUUUUUUUAAAUGCAUUUCAAAUUUUAAUUUCAAUACAGAGCUCCAGUUUCUCAUUCCAUUGUUUAGCGGUAUAAGUAGAUGGAAGGAAAUUAGAAUAAGAUUUAAUGCAAACAAAGAUCAUUUGAUGGCAUAUGUGACUGAUAUGAUCCUAUUAAUGCACAACAUAAAACAACACAUAUAGAUUUUAUUUUUUCAUCAAUUAUAUUGUUCACCUUCCACAUCAUACCAAUUUUAACAAUUUAAUUUAAAAUAAUAAAAUUCAAUUUGUUAAAAAUCUGCAGUUUCGUGCAUUCCAUUUGAAUGUUUUUCUUUUUCUUUUUCUUUUUCUUUUUCCUGCUAAACUUGAUCUCUAAAAUAAAAAGAGAUCGAGAAUCUAAAUCAGCAAUAAAGAAAGUUGCCUGGCAGGUUGACAAAUGUGGUGAAAUUAGUAAUCAUUUUUUAUUCAUUAGAAGGUCCAAUUAACAAUAGACUCUUGUGGUCGAAAAGACUUAAAUUCGAACAUUUCACUGUUCAUAUUAAUGAAAAGAUCAAUCAAACCACACAAAAAUUACUAAAGCUAAUUGAUAGUCAUUACAAUAAUUAAAACAGCUAAUAUUACUAAAACAAACAAUAUUGUCAAAUAGGACCUAAAUUGAAUACCCCUAAGGCCAAUUAUUCAAUUUUUUGUUUUAAAUCCAAAAAUUCUCCACAUCCGUAAUUAUUACAUAAUUAAAACAUAUAUAUAUAUAUAUGCAUAUAUUGAUUGUUCUAUAAAACAAAAAGAGCCUAAAUGUGUAAUGAGUAGGAAGGAGCUACAUAUUAGCUUAUUCCUGUGUAUAACAUAGUCUUCAAGCAAACCUUCUGACAAGUUGCAUUGCAUUGGCUAUUUUCAUAUAACACCGUUCCUUUUCAGUCAGCCUGCUAUCCACAAUAUCAGGUAAUAAAUACUGACAUUAUCCAGAUCGCCAAACAAAAUUAUAAAAGCUUACCUUAAGAGAUAAAUCAGAGCUUAUUAAUAUAUUAUUAUACAUCUUCCUUUAUUCAAGUAACGGAACAUGCAAAAAGUAAAUCACAAUUGCACAAAAGUAUAUGCUGUUGAUGUAGGAGUAAGAGU
This 1764-nucleotide long non-coding RNA is filed under the name Jatropha curcas. Its description in RNAcentral is "long non-coding RNA (JCUR_LNC001578)". Lineage: Eukaryota; Viridiplantae; Streptophyta; Magnoliopsida; Malpighiales; Euphorbiaceae. The record is from RNAcentral.